Molecule: ribosomal RNA, 936 nt
Filed under: uncultured organism
Description: bacterial SSU rRNA
Rfam family: Bacterial small subunit ribosomal RNA
Source: RNAcentral
GCCUAACACAUGCAAGUCGAGCGAUGAGGCUCCCUUCGGGGGGUACAUCAGCGGCGAACGGGUGAGUAACACGUGGGUGACCUUCCCCAAAGACGGGGAUAACUCUUGGAAACAGGGUGCUAAUACCCGAUGUGCUCAGCAGUUCACUCUGUUGAGUAAAGCUAUGGCGCUUCGGGAUGGGCCCGCGGCCCAUCAGCUAGUUGGUAGGGUAAAGGCCUACCAAGGCUAAGACGGGUAGGGGGCGUGAGAGCGCGAUCCCCCACACUGGCACUGAGACACGGGCCAGACUCCUACGGGAGGCAGCAGUGAGGAAUAUUGCGCAAUGGACGAAAGUCUGACGCAGCGACGCCGCGUGGGCGAUGAAGGCCUUCGGGUCGUAAAGCCCUUUUCUGGGGGAAGAGAAAGGACGGUACCCCAGGAAUAAGCCCCGGCUAACUACGUGCCAGCAGCCGCGGUAAAACGUAGGGGGCAAGCGUUAUCCGGAUUUACUGGGCGUAAAGAGCGUUGAGGCGGUUUUGUAAGUUGGGUGUGAAAGCCCUGGGCUUAACUCAGGGAAGCCGUUCAAUACUGCGAAGCUUGAGGGCAGCAGAGGGAGGUGGAAUUCCCGGAGUAGCGGUGAAAUGCGUAGAUAUCGGGAGGAACACCAGUGGCGAAGGCGGCCUCCUGGGCUGCUCCUGACGCUGAAGGCGAAAGCUAGGGGAGCGAACGGGAUUAGAAACCCCGGUAGUCCUAGCCGUAAACGAUGGAUGCUAGGUGUGGGGGGUGUAGAUUCCCUCCGUGCCGCAGUUAACGCGUUAAGCAUCCCGCCUGGGGAGUACGGCCGCAAGGCUAAAACUCAAACGAAUUGACGGGGGCCCGCACAAGCAGCGGAGCGUGUGGUUUAAUUCGAUGCUACACGAAGAACCUUACCUGGGCUUGACCUACCAGGUAGUAGUG